Molecule: long non-coding RNA, 605 nt
Filed under: Musa acuminata (dwarf banana)
Lineage: Eukaryota; Viridiplantae; Streptophyta; Magnoliopsida; Zingiberales; Musaceae
Description: long non-coding RNA (MACU_LNC003406)
Source: RNAcentral
ACCAACGCACUGCAGCUCCCAGAACCAAGAACACCAAGUACAAGAAAAUGAUGAAGAUAUGUAGGAAAUAAGAAACUGAAAGCUUCCGAGUACAAGAGGGAAUAGCUCAGAUUUGAUGUCAUCAAAUAAUAUCUAAUCUUUAAGUCCUAUUUUCCAGGGAAAGAACAAACAAAAACGAAAGUCAUCAUCAUAAUACUGCAGACAAUCUCUCUCUUCUCUUCCCUGCUCAUUUAUGUGUUUGAUGAAAUUAUCCUGCACGAAAGAUGAAGAGACAAUGAUGAAGAUUGAAAGUGAGAGUCAUGUUCAGGCAAGGAGAAGAAGCUCGAAAGAGAGAAUGAUACAAAAGCUGGAGAUGCGUACCGUGACUUAAUUCAGCGGGUCCGCAGGUUCUUAUCGUCUCCUGGAUGAAUCCAUGGAUGCCAAGCAUUCAUCUCCGUCGUUGUGAUCAACACACCGUUCUUUAAAGAGUAUACAAUAGAUUCCGACAUCAAAUAGAUAUACAUGCAGAUCACUGCAUUGAAGUCGAUCAAAAUCACACAGCCUUUUGCGAGUAAUGAUUGCUAGCUAGAGAGCUACCGCAAAGGGAAGCUCCGGCAAAAGACCAG